RNAcentral lists this ribosomal RNA (253 nucleotides) under uncultured bacterium. Its description in RNAcentral is "partial 16S ribosomal RNA". It matches the Rfam family "Bacterial small subunit ribosomal RNA", at positions 524 to 776 of the family's 1533-position model. The record is from RNAcentral.
GACGAAGGAUCCAAGCGUUAUCCGGAUUCAUUGGGUUUAAAGGGUGCGUAGGCGGACUUAUAAGUCAGUGGUGAAAGCCGAUAGCUUAACUAUCGAACUGCCAUUGAUACUGUAAGUCUAGAGUAUAGAUGAUGUUGGCGGAAUAUGACAUGUAGCGGUGAAAUGCAUAGAUAUGUCAUAGAACACCGAUUGCGAAGGCAGCUGACAAAACUAUAACUGACGCUGAUGCACGAAAGUGCGGGGAUCAAACAGG